GACGAACCGUGCGAACGUUAUUCGGAAUCACUGGGCUUAAAGGGCGCGUAGGCGGCCCGGUAAGUCAAAGGUGAAAUCCCUCGGCUCAACUGAGGAACUGCCUUUGAAACUGUCGGGCUCGAGGCCGGGAGGGGGUAGCGGAAUUCCCAGUGUAGCGGUGAAAUGCGUAGAUAUUGGGAGGAACACCGGUGGCGAAGGCGGCUACCUGGACCGGUUCUGACGCUGAGGCACGAAAGCGUGGGGAGCAAACAGG
RNAcentral lists this ribosomal RNA (253 nucleotides) under uncultured bacterium. Its description in RNAcentral is "partial 16S ribosomal RNA". It matches the Rfam family "Bacterial small subunit ribosomal RNA", at positions 524 to 776 of the family's 1533-position model. The record is from RNAcentral.